GAUGAACGCUGGCGGCGUGCCUAAUACAUGCAAGUCGAGCGAACGGACGAGAAGCUUGCUUUUCUGAUGUUAGCGGCGGACGGGUGAGUAACACGUGGAUAACCUACCUAUCAGACUGGGAUAACUUCGGGAAACCGGCGCUAAUACCGGAUAAUCUUUUGAACCGCAUGGUUCACAAGUGAACGACGGUCUUGCUGUCCCUUCUAGCUGGCUCCGCGCUGCAUUAGCUAGUUGGUAAGGUAACGGCUUACCAAGGCAACGAUGCAUAGCCGACCUGAGAGGGUGAUCGGCCACACUGGAACGGAGACACGGUCCAGACGCCUAAGGGAGGCAGCAGUAGGGAAUCGGCCGCAAUGGGCGAAAGCCUGACGGAGCAACGCCGCGUGAGUGAUGAAGGUCUUCGGAUCGUAAAACUCUGUUAUUAGGGAAGAACAGAUGUGUAAGUAACUGUGCACAGCGUGACGGUACCUAAUCAGAAAGCCACGGCUAACUACGUG
Molecule: ribosomal RNA, 497 nt
Filed under: uncultured bacterium
Lineage: Bacteria
Description: partial 16S ribosomal RNA
Rfam family: Bacterial small subunit ribosomal RNA
Source: RNAcentral